ACGAACGCUGGCGGCGUGCCUAAAACAUGCAAGUCGAACGAGACCUUCGGGUCUAGUGGCGAACGGCGGAGUAAUACGUGAACAACGUGCCCCUAAGUCUGGAACAAACGCAGAAAUGCCAUAAAUGCCGGAUGUGGUCAGGAAUGGGCAUCCAUACCUGAUUAAAGGAUUUUCGCUUAGGGAGCGGUUCACGGCCUAUCAGCUAGUUGGUGGGGUAAAGGCCUACCAAGGCGACGACGGGUAGCGGGUCUGAGAGGACGAUCCGCUCGAGUGGGACUGAGACACGGCCCACACACCUACGGGUGGCAGCAGUUGGGAAUCUUGCACAGUGGGGGAAACCCUGAUGCAGCGACGCCGCGUGGAGGAUGAAGGAUUUCGGUCUGUAAACUCCUUUUAUCGGGAAAGACUUAGGACGGUACCCGAUGAAUAAGCCCCGGCUAACUACGU
Molecule: ribosomal RNA, 447 nt
Filed under: uncultured bacterium
Lineage: Bacteria
Description: partial 16S ribosomal RNA
Rfam family: Bacterial small subunit ribosomal RNA
Source: RNAcentral